This 254-nucleotide ribosomal RNA is filed under the name uncultured bacterium. RNAcentral's name for it is "partial 16S ribosomal RNA". It matches the Rfam family "Bacterial small subunit ribosomal RNA", at positions 524 to 776 of the family's 1533-position model. The record is from RNAcentral.
UACGGGGGGAGCAAGCGUUGUUCGGAUUUACUGGGCGUAAAGGGCGCGUAGGCGGCCUCUGCAAGUCGACUGUGAAAUCUCCGGGCUUAACCCGGAAAGGUCAGCCGAUACUGCAGGGCUAGAGUGCAGAAGGGGCAACUGGAAUUCUCGGUGUAGCGGUGAAAUUCGUAGAUAUUGGGAAGAACACCAGUGGCGAAGGCGGCUCACUGGCUCGUAACUGACGCUCAGGCGCGACAGCGUGGGGAUCAAACAGG